GCUUACGGCCACACCUCCCUGAGCGCGCCCGAUCUCGUCUGAUCUCGGAAGCUAAGCAGGGUCGAGCCCGUUUAGUACUUGGAUGGGAGACCGCCUGGGAAUACCAGGUGCUGUAAGCC
Molecule: ribosomal RNA, 119 nt
Filed under: Esox lucius (northern pike)
Lineage: Eukaryota; Metazoa; Chordata; Actinopteri; Esociformes; Esocidae
Source: RNAcentral